This 895-nucleotide ribosomal RNA is filed under the name Escherichia coli. Its description in RNAcentral is "partial 23S ribosomal RNA". It matches the Rfam family "Bacterial large subunit ribosomal RNA", at positions 294 to 1194 of the family's 2925-position model. The record is from RNAcentral. Lineage: Bacteria; Pseudomonadati; Pseudomonadota; Gammaproteobacteria; Enterobacterales; Enterobacteriaceae.
GGAGCAGCCCAGAGCCUGAAUCAGUGUGUGUGUUAGUGGAAGCGUCUGGAAAGGCGCGCGAUACAGGGUGACAGCCCCGUACACAAAAAUGCACAUACUGUGAGCUCGAUGAGUAGGGCGGGACACGUGGUAUCCUGUCUGAAUAUGGGGGGACCAUCCUCCAAGGCUAAAUACUCCUGACUGACCGAUAGUGAACCAGUACCGUGAGGGAAAGGCGAAAAGAACCCCGGCGAGGGGAGUGAAAAAGAACCUGAAACCGUGUACGUACAAGCAGUGGGAGCACAGAGCAAUCUGUGUGACUGCGUACCUUUUGUAUAAUGGGUCAGCGACUUAUAUUCUGUAGCAAGGUUAACCGAAUAGGGGAGCCGAAGGGAAACCGAGUCUUAACUGGGCGUUAAGUUGCAGGGUAUAGACCCGAAACCCGGUGAUCUAGCCAUGGGCAGGUUGAAGGUUGGGUAACACUAACUGGAGGACCGAACCGACUAAUGUUGAAAAAUUAGCGGAUGACUUGUGGCUGGGGGUGAAAGGCCAAUCAAACCGGGAGAUAGCUGGUUCUCCCCGAAAGCUAUUUAGGUAGCGCCUCGUGAAUUCAUCUCCGGGGGUAGAGCACUGUUUCGGCAAGGGGGUCAUCCCGACUUACCAACCCGAUGCAAACUGCGAAUACCGGAGAAUGUUAUCACGGGAGACACACGGCGGGUGCUAACGUCCGUCGUGAAGAGGGAAACAACCCAGACCGCCAGCUAAGGUCCCAAAGUCAUGGUUAAGUGGGAAACGAUGUGGGAAGGCCCAGACAGCCAGGAUGUUGGCUUAGAAGCAGCCAUCAUUUAAAGAAAGCGUAAUAGCUCACUGGUCGAGUCGGCCUGCGCGGAAGAUGUAACGGGGCUAAACCAUGCAC